GCAUUGGUGGUUCAGUGGUAGAAUUCUCGCCUGCCACGUGGGAGACCUGUGUCCGAUUCCCGGCCAUCGCA
This 71-nucleotide transfer RNA is filed under the name Danio rerio (zebrafish). It matches the Rfam family "tRNA". From Rfam's summary of the family: Transfer RNA (tRNA) molecules are approximately 80 nucleotides in length. Their secondary structure includes four short double-helical elements and three loops (D, anti-codon, and T loops). Lineage: Eukaryota; Metazoa; Chordata; Actinopteri; Cypriniformes; Danionidae. The record is from Rfam by way of RNAcentral.